This 1772-nucleotide long non-coding RNA is filed under the name Homo sapiens (human). RNAcentral describes it as "non-protein coding lnc-CDC27-9:3". Lineage: Eukaryota; Metazoa; Chordata; Mammalia; Primates; Hominidae. The record is from RNAcentral.
CGGCGGCCUUUGCGGGAACAAGAUGGCAGCCCUCAUACCUCAAGGGUUCUCUUGUUUAUCGAGGGUUUUGGGCUGGUGGUCUCGGCAGCCAGUUCUGGUGACUCAGUCCGCAGCUAUAGUUCCAGUAAGAACUAAAAAACGUUUCACAUCUCCUAUUUAUCAACCUAAAUUUAAAACAGAAAAGGAGUUUAUGCAACAUGCCCGGAAAGCAGGAUUGGUUAUUCCUCCAGAAAAAUCGGACCGUUCCAUACAUCUGGCCUGUACAGCUGGUAUAUUUGAUGCCUAUGUUCCUCCUGAGGGUGAUGCACGCAUAUCAUCUCUUUCAAAGGAGAGAUGAUAGAGAGAACUGAUAGAGAGAACUGAACGAAUGAAGAAGACUAUGGCAUCACAAGUGUCAUGGAGUCUUGCUCUGUUACCCAGGCUGGAGUGCAGUGGCUCCAUCUCGGCCCACUGCAGCCUCUGCCUCCCAGGUUCAAGUGAUUCUCCUGCCUCAGCCUCCCGAGUAGCUGAGACUACAGAAUCCGGAGGAUAAAAGACUAUGAUGCCAACUUUAAAAUAAAGGACUUCCCUGAAAAAGCUAAGGAUAUCUUUAUUGAAGCUCACCUUUGUCUAAAUAAGUUGGGCCCAUGAGAUGUGUGCUCUGUAUAUUCCGGAGGUACAAUUUGCCAGUGUUUCCACAAUGGAACCAAUUGUUUUACAGUCUGUUCCACAUGAUCAUUGUAAUAAGGUAUCAAGAGUCUGGUAAAUUUGAAUUAAUUAUUAUUUUGCAUAAUAUUCAUUACAAUGUAUCAUACAUUCUUUUUUAAAAAACAGUCCUAUAUUAGAAUGUUACUUGUCCCCCCCCUCAAGUUAUUUGUACCCCAAGAUACGGUUUUUAUUGUUGGCCUUAAAAAAAAAACUUAAUGUUUGCUUUUUUCCUGUAUGUUUUUCUUCAUUUAGUAUGUUAUUGUUUUAUUCUCCUCUGCAUUUUAGGUUUCACCAUUACCCAAUGUGCCUUUAAAUACAGUUUUACCACUUAAUUGAAGGUACACAUUCCAACUGUGGAAGAAAUUGCAGCCAGCUUUAAGAUUUUAAAUGUUUUUGUGCAAAAAAACUUUUUAUUAUGUAAUUAAUAUUUAUUUUAUUUUAUUUUAUUUUACUUUUUAUUUAUUUAUUUUUUUUGAGACAGAGUCUCACUCUGUCACCCAGGCUGGAAUGCAGUGGCAUGAUCUCGGCUCACAGCAACCUCUGCCUCCCGGGUUCAAGCAAUUCUCCUGCCUUAGCCUCCUGAGUAGCUGGGAUUACAGGUGCCCACUAUCACGCCCGACUAAUUUUUCUAUUUUUUAGUAGAGACGGGGUUUUUUCUGUGUAUUUUUGCUUAUAGUAUAUACUUACGAAAAAGUUGAAUCGUUUUGCUUAUAUUUUUUGUUUGCUUUUGAAAAUUACACAGCAUCUUUUGUGUGUCAAUAAAUUGUGUUUCUGCUGUAUUUUUAAUAGAUACUUGGUCUGUAAUACAGAAUAUCAUGAGAUUCAACAAACUGUAAAUUUAAUUAAGCAACCCUUUGUGGUUGAAGGGCCUAGUUUGGUGUCUGGCAUUUAGUAUACACUGCUAGCAUCUGUGUAAAAGUGUGUGAACAUUUUGGAAGCUUCAAGAAAUACAUUGUGUGAAAUUGUCCUCUAGAACUUACACUGUAUUAGCUGUAUGUGAGAUUGCUCAUAACUCUAUAUUUUGUUAGGUACACUGUGUUACCCUUAAAAAAAUCUUUGCUAUUCUUUCUAGUAAAAAAAAUAUU